Molecule: ribosomal RNA, 1343 nt
Filed under: uncultured bacterium
Lineage: Bacteria
Description: 16S ribosomal RNA
Rfam family: Bacterial small subunit ribosomal RNA
Source: RNAcentral
GACGAACGCUGGCGGCGUGCUUAACACAUGCAAGUCGAACGGAAAGGCCCUGCUUUUGUGGGGUGCUCGAGUGGCGAACGGGUGAGUAACACGUGAGUAACCUGCCCUUGACUUUGGGAUAACUUCAGGAAACUGGGGCUAAUACCGGAUAGGAGCUCCUACUGCAUGGUGGGGGUUGGAAAGUUUCGGCGGUUGGGGAUGGACUCGCGGCUUAUCAGCUUGUUGGUGGGGUAGUGGCUUACCAAGGCUUUGACGGGUAGCCGGCCUGAGAGGGUGACCGGCCACAUUGGGACUGAGAUACGGCCCAGACUCCUACGGGAGGCAGCAGUGGGGAAUAUUGCACAAUGGGCGGAAGCCUGAUGCAGCAACGCCGCGUGCGGGAUGACGGCCUUCGGGUUGUAAACCGCUUUCGCCUGUGACGAAGCGUGAGUGACGGUAAUGGGUAAAGAAGCACCGGCUAACUACGUGCCAGCAGCCGCGGUGAUACGUAGGGUGCGAGCGUUGUCCGGAUUUAUUGGGCGUAAAGGGCUCGUAGGUGGUUGAUCGCGUCGGAAGUGUAAUCUUGGGGCUUAACCCUGAGCGUGCUUUCGAUACGGGUUGACUUGAGGAAGGUAGGGGAGAAUGGAAUUCCUGGUGGAGCGGUGGAAUGCGCAGAUAUCAGGAGGAACACCAGUGGCGAAGGCGGUUCUCUGGGCCUUUCCUGACGCUGAGGAGCGAAAGCGUGGGGAGCGAACAGGCUUAGAUACCCUGGUAGUCCACGCUGUAAACGGUGGGUACUAGGUGUGGGGUCCAUUCCACGGGUUCCGUGCCGUAGCUAACGCUUUAAGUACCCCGCCUGGGGAGUACGGCCGCAAGGCUAAAACUCAAAGGAAUUGACGGGGCCCCGCACAAGCGGCGGAGCAUGCGGAUUAAUUCGAUGCAACGCGUAGAACCUUACCUGGGUUUGACAUGGAUCGGGAGUGCUCAGAGAUGGGUGUGCCUCUUUUGGGGUCGGUUCACAGGUGGUGCAUGGCUGUCGUCAGCUCGUGUCGUGAGAUGUUGGGUUAAGUCCCGCAACGAGCGCAACCCUUGUUCACUGUUGCCAGCACGUUAUGGUGGGGACUCAGUGGAGACCGCCGGGGUCAACUCGGAGGAAGGUGGGGAUGACGUCAAGUCAUCAUGCCCCUUAUGUCCAGGGCUUCACGCAUGCUACAAUGGCUGGUACAGAGAGUGGCGAGCCUGUGAGGGUGAGCGAAUCUCGGAAAGCCGGUCUCAGUUCGGAUUGGGGUCUGCAACUCGACCUCAUGAAGUCGGAGUCGCCAGUAAUCGCAGAUCAGCAACGCUGCGGUGAAUACGUUCCCGGG